AGCAGCCGCGGUAAUUCCAGCUUCAAUGGCGUAUAUUUAAGUUGUUGCAGUUAAAAAGCCCGUAGUUGAACUUCGGGGUUCACCCAUUGGUCAGGCUUAAUUGUCUGUACUGGUGAGAUGAGUCUCUACCUUCUGAGGGACUUUCAUGCCAUUUAUUUGGUGUGAUUGGAAAUCAGGACUGUUACUUUGAAAAAAUUAGAGUGUUUAAAGCAGGCUAACGUCUGAAUACAUUAGCAUGGAAUAAUGGAAUAGGACGGAUUGAUUCUAUUUCGUUGGUUUCUAGGAUCACCGUAAUGAUUAAUAGGGAUAGUUGGGGGCAUUAGUAUUCAAUUGUCAGAGGUGAAAUUCUUGGAUUUAUUGAAGACUAACUACUGCGAAAGCAUUUGCCAAGGAUGUUUUCACUAAUCAAGAACGAAAGUUAGGGGAUCGAAGACGAUCAGAUACCGUCGUAGUCUUAACCAUAAACUAUGCCGACUAGGGAUCGGACGCAGUUAAUUUUAUAAUGACGU
This 509-nucleotide ribosomal RNA is filed under the name uncultured Glomeromycotina. RNAcentral describes it as "SSU rRNA". It matches the Rfam family "Eukaryotic small subunit ribosomal RNA", at positions 569 to 1079 of the family's 1831-position model. Lineage: Eukaryota; Fungi; Glomeromycota. The record is from RNAcentral.